CAUCUGCUGACCAGUAGCACCUGCUUCACUUAGUGUCAUUUCACUGUUCUGUCUCUGUGUUUGAGGUAUGUCAGUAAACUCCAACUCUCUGGCUGCAGGCCUGGCACUUGUGUCGGUGGUUUUGCUCAGCAUGCUGACAAUGAUGUGUCUACGGUGCAAAAAGAAACCCAAACCCAUACUUCAGGAGUCUCACAUAUACAAUCGACACACAUUAAAAAAGCGUUAUUUUUCAAUGCCUUCAGCUAAUUUUGACAUGUAGACCUUUAACUGUUCCGAAUUUAAGUCCUUCUUUUUGAUGCAACCUAGUUUAUUUAAUAUAUUGAUAUACAUUAAAUACAAAUAACAAACACAAAGGCUUUGUGUUGUUGAUCCGCCCUCUGGAAAUCACUCCCACAACCCAUCAAGAAUGCAGAUUCAUUACGGAACUUAAAAACCCACCUGUUAAAACUUACUUUUCCUUAACUUUUCUUUUACUUUUAUUGUCAUUUCUUUAUUUUUCUGUAUUCUGCAAAGUGGUUUUGAGCCCCUAAAAAAGCGUGAUAUAAAAUUGACUCAUUAUUAUUAUUAUUAUUAUUAUUAUUAUUAUUAUUAUUAUUAUUAUUAUUAUUAUUAUUAUUAUUAUUAUUAUUAUUAUUAUCAUUAUGACCUCAGUUUCGCCAACAGUCAACUGUUUCAAAUACGUACAUUUACUUACAGAUGUGCUGGUAUUUGUGUAGUAUGGUCCUAACACCAUAAAGCUUCUCAUUGUCGUUACAUGGUCCAACUUUCACCUCUUGAUACAUUAGCUAUUUACUAUUUUUUGCUGAUCAAGCGGUUUUUGCUGAUUAAAUCUCCU
Molecule: long non-coding RNA, 835 nt
Filed under: Gouania willdenowi (blunt-snouted clingfish)
Lineage: Eukaryota; Metazoa; Chordata; Actinopteri; Blenniiformes; Gobiesocidae
Description: lncRNA (ENSGWIG00000007003.1)
Source: RNAcentral